AAAUAGGAACUGAAUUCACUUAGGGAAUUGGUGAUAUAAUAAUUGAUGGUAAGUCUUGAAUUACCGAACUAGUAGAUUAAUUCAUCAGUCAUAAUUGUAAUCAUUUUUUAUUUUCAAUUGUCUGAAAACCUAAAACCCCCCUUUUUUCGUUUCUUUCGUUUGUUUUAAUCGACUUAGAGUCCUUUUGAUACGACUCGAGUGUUGCUUACAUAUACUACAUUUAUUAACUCGUUUUUU
Molecule: long non-coding RNA, 237 nt
Filed under: Lathyrus oleraceus (garden pea)
Lineage: Eukaryota; Viridiplantae; Streptophyta; Magnoliopsida; Fabales; Fabaceae
Description: Pisum sativum (pea) long non-coding RNA (PSAT_LNC039065)
Source: RNAcentral